Molecule: ribosomal RNA, 504 nt
Filed under: uncultured bacterium
Lineage: Bacteria
Description: bacterial SSU rRNA
Rfam family: Bacterial small subunit ribosomal RNA
Source: RNAcentral
GAUCCUGGCUCAGGAUGAACGCUAGCUACAGGCUUAACACAUGCAAGUCGAGGGGCAGCAUGGUCUUAGCUUGCUAAGACUGAUGGCGACCGGCGCACGGGUGAGUAACGCGUAUCCAACCUUCCCCUUAGUAGGGCAUAGCCCGGCGAAAGUCGGAUUAAUACCCUAUGUUGUCAAUAGAGGACAUCUGAAGCUGACCAAAGGUUUACCGCUAAGGGAUGGGGAUGCGUCUGAUUAGGUUGCAGGCGGGUAACGGCCCACCUGGCCGACGAUCAGUAGGGGUUCUGAGAGGAAGGUCCCCCACACUGGUACUGAGACACGGACCAGACUCCUACGGGAGGCAGCAGUGAGGAAUAUUGGUCAAUGGGCGAGAGCCUGAACCAGCCAAGUAGCGUGCAGGAUGACGGCCCUAUGGGUUGUAAACUGCUUUUAUAUAGGGAUAAAGUUCACCACGUGUGGUGUUUUGUAGGUACUAUAUGAAUAAGGACCGGCUAAUUCCGUGCC